RNAcentral lists this ribosomal RNA (171 nucleotides) under Pseudomonas aeruginosa. Its description in RNAcentral is "partial 16S ribosomal RNA". It matches the Rfam family "Bacterial small subunit ribosomal RNA", at positions 1 to 171 of the family's 1533-position model. The record is from RNAcentral. Lineage: Bacteria; Pseudomonadati; Pseudomonadota; Gammaproteobacteria; Pseudomonadales; Pseudomonadaceae.
GAACUGAAGAGUUUGAUCAUGGCUCAGAUUGAACGCUGGCGGCAGGCCUAACACAUGCAAGUCGAGCGGAUGAAGGGAGCUUGCUCCUGGAUUUAGCGGCGGACGGGUGAGUAAUGCCUAGGAAUCUGCCUGGUAGUGGGGGAUAACGUCCGGAAACGGGCGCUAAUACCG